Molecule: long non-coding RNA, 690 nt
Organism: Uranotaenia lowii
Lineage: Eukaryota; Metazoa; Arthropoda; Insecta; Diptera; Culicidae
Exons: 3
Source: RefSeq, a predicted model, not a curated record
GCUUGUAUUGAACGGUUUGCAGUCGAAAAAGGCUUUAUUGAAAACAUUGCAUUCUCCUGCUGCGUCCAGCUUUGGCAGACUUGACAUCGUGGAGGAACCGUUCCAGAGAUAGUUUACUUUGAGCACCGGCACCGGUUUUUCCGAAUUGCAUUGAACCAAUAAGAACAAAUGAGCGAGGAAAAUUUUCUCACCCACCAGGUAGAAAUAGUUGCCCCCUCAGGAAGUAAACCCCUCUUAUUGCCUUGGGAAAUACCACAUUCCCGAAUCAAGAACCGAUCAUUUCUAUACGGUGAUGACCAACUUAUCUGAAUCCAAAACACCUUUCAUCAUCUCGAUAAUAUCGAUGUGAUCGUUCCGUUUGGGAAACGUUGGGCCCGUUUUAGGCUACAGAAGUCGAUGCACGCAUGGCUGGAAAAUCUGUAAACUCCCUCUUUCUCUAUCAAUGUAAAUAAUUCGUGUAUUAAAGCAAAAUCCAGCGCAGUUUGUGGGAAACUUUCGUGGAUGACCGGACUUUUCAUUUCCUGGCCGAGAACACUGCCAUACACGUUCACGCACAUGUCUUCUGAGCUAAAAUCAUCGGUUAAACGAUCUAGUCCAAUUCAAAUGAUGUCCGCUUAAAAAAAAGGACUGGUAUCGAUCCGUUACUGGGGCACCAAAUUCAUUCCUCUAAUUGGCGAACCAAGUUGGAGA